UGGCCCUACGGGGCGCAGCAGUGAGGAAUAUUGGUCAAUGGCCGAGAGGCUGAACCAGCCAAGUCGCGUGAGGGAUGACGGCCCUACGGGUUGUAAACCUCUUUUGUCGGGGAGCAAGACCCACCACGAGUGGCGGAGCGAGAGUACCCGAAGAAAAAGCAUCGGCUAACUCCGUGCCAGCAGCCGCGGUAAUACGUAGGGGGCGAGCGUUAUCCGGAAUUAUUGGGUGUAAAGGGAGCGUAGACGGCGAGGUAAGCCUGAAGUGGAAGCCCGCGGCCCAACCGCGGGACUGCUUUGGUAACUGU
RNAcentral lists this ribosomal RNA (305 nucleotides) under uncultured bacterium. Its description in RNAcentral is "bacterial SSU rRNA". It matches the Rfam family "Bacterial small subunit ribosomal RNA", at positions 334 to 636 of the family's 1533-position model. The record is from RNAcentral.